Molecule: ribosomal RNA, 1497 nt
Filed under: Limosilactobacillus fermentum
Lineage: Bacteria; Bacillati; Bacillota; Bacilli; Lactobacillales; Lactobacillaceae
Description: bacterial SSU rRNA
Rfam family: Bacterial small subunit ribosomal RNA
Source: RNAcentral
GAUGAACGCCGGCGGUGUGCCUAAUACAUGCAAGUCGAACGCGUUGGCCCAAUUGAUUGAUGGUGCUUGCACCUGAUUGAUUUUGGUCGCCAACGAGUGGCGGACGGGUGAGUAACACGUAGGUAACCUGCCCAGAAGCGGGGGACAACAUUUGGAAACAGAUGCUAAUACCGCAUAACAGCGUUGUUCGCAUGAACAACGCUUAAAAGAUGGCUUCUCGCUAUCACUUCUGGAUGGACCUGCGGUGCAUUAGCUUGUUGGUGGGGUAACGGCCUACCAAGGCGAUGAUGCAUAGCCGAGUUGAGAGACUGAUCGGCCACAAUGGGACUGAGACACGGCCCAUACUCCUACGGGAGGCAGCAGUAGGGAAUCUUCCACAAUGGGCGCAAGCCUGAUGGAGCAACACCGCGUGAGUGAAGAAGGGUUUCGGCUCGUAAAGCUCUGUUGUUAAAGAAGAACACGUAUGAGAGUAACUGUUCAUACGUUGACGGUAUUUAACCAGAAAGUCACGGCUAACUACGUGCCAGCAGCCGCGGUAAUACGUAGGUGGCAAGCGUUAUCCGGAUUUAUUGGGCGUAAAGAGAGUGCAGGCGGUUUUCUAAGUCUGAUGUGAAAGCCUUCGGCUUAACCGGAGAAGUGCAUCGGAACUGGAUAACUUGAGUGCAGAAGAGGGUAGUGGAACUCCAUGUGUAGCGGUGGAAUGCGUAGAUAUAUGGAAGAACACCAGUGGCGAAGGCGGCUACCUGGUCUGCAACUGACGCUGAGACUCGAAAGCAUGGGUAGCGAACAGGAUUAGAUACCCUGGUAGUCCAUGCCGUAAACGAUGAGUGCUAGGUGUUGGAGGGUUUCCGCCCUUCAGUGCCGGAGCUAACGCAUUAAGCACUCCGCCUGGGGAGUACGACCGCAAGGUUGAAACUCAAAGGAAUUGACGGGGGCCCGCACAAGCGGUGGAGCAUGUGGUUUAAUUCGAAGCUACGCGAAGAACCUUACCAGGUCUUGACAUCUUGCGCCAACCCUAGAGAUAGGGCGUUUCCUUCGGGAACGCAAUGACAGGUGGUGCAUGGUCGUCGUCAGCUCGUGUCGUGAGAUGUUGGGUUAAGUCCCGCAACGAGCGCAACCCUUGUUACUAGUUGCCAGCAUUAAGUUGGGCACUCUAGUGAGACUGCCGGUGACAAACCGGAGGAAGGUGGGGACGACGUCAGAUCAUCAUGCCCCUUAUGACCUGGGCUACACACGUGCUACAAUGGACGGUACAACGAGUCGCGAACUCGCGAGGGCAAGCAAAUCUCUUAAAACCGUUCUCAGUUCGGACUGCAGGCUGCAACUCGCCUGCACGAAGUCGGAAUCGCUAGUAAUCGCGGAUCAGCAUGCCGCGGUGAAUACGUUCCCGGGCCUUGUACACACCGCCCGUCACACCAUGAGAGUUUGUAACACCCAAAGUCGGUGGGGUAACCUUUUAGGAGCCAGCCGCCUAAGGUGGGACAGAUGAUUAGGGUG